CGAACGGGUGAGUAACGCGUGAGGAACCUGCCUCAAAGAGGGGGACAACAGUUGGAAACGACUGCUAAUACCGCAUAAGCCCACGGCUCGGCAUCGAGCAGAGGGAAAAGGAGCAAUCCGCUUUGAGAUGGCCUCGCGUCCGAUUAGCUAGUUGGUGAGGUAACGGCCCACCAAGGCGACGAUCGGUAGCCGGACUGAGAGGUUGAACGGCCACAUUGGGACCGAGACACGGCCCAG
This 237-nucleotide ribosomal RNA is filed under the name uncultured bacterium. RNAcentral's name for it is "partial 16S ribosomal RNA". It matches the Rfam family "Bacterial small subunit ribosomal RNA", at positions 99 to 334 of the family's 1533-position model. The record is from RNAcentral.